Molecule: unclassified non-coding RNA, 2356 nt
Filed under: Hevea brasiliensis (rubber tree)
Lineage: Eukaryota; Viridiplantae; Streptophyta; Magnoliopsida; Malpighiales; Euphorbiaceae
Source: RNAcentral
UCUUCUUCUUCUUCUUCUUCCUUUGAGGUUCUUUUUAUUUUUUUAUUUUUCCCUCUACUGGAGGGAAAAGAAAAGGGUGCAAAACCCCGUUAUAUCUAUUAAUUAAAUCAAUCUUAAAUAGAAAAUAUGUAAAGCCUUUUACAUCAAUUCUUGAAAUAAAUAGUAGAAAAUUCUGAAUGGCAAGUGCUCUACGGUGAAGUAAGCAACUGAAAUCAACAAUUUCAGGUAGCCAGAGCUGUCGUCUUCAGACCCACCGUACCCAAUACCAAAUAAUGUGCGAUGUCAAAGUAAAAAUGAAAAUCAUUCAAGUUUCGUCUUCACUGUCUGAAAGUAGGCAAUCUUGAAUUUGCUGCCUUAGCAUACUGGAAUUGUCACAGCUGCCAUGCUUCACCCGGGCAACCAUUUGUUGGGGUAAAGACAAAUAGAAAUGUUCCAUUGAUGAGGAAUCCUUGGGGAGUAUCUGAAAACGGCAACUUGAACAACAGGCACCACCAAAUCUUGAACUUUGGCAACCUUCGGGUUUGUUCGAACUCGAUAAAUCAGAAUUUCUGAGAGGACUAUUGCAAAGAGGACAGAAUGACUCCGAGGACAUAGAUUCCAUGGGCUUGAGAUUGUAUCUCUUCUGACGCCUUCGAGUAGCCAAAGGAACAGUACAAUCACUGAUUUCAGGAAUUCUAUUAAAAUGGAAUGGAGUAAGCUUUCCAGCUGUUCGUACAAUCGUACACUCUCGAGAAGGAUUUUCUUCCUGCAACCCAAAAGAUUUAACAUUGAUAACUAACAUUCUCUUACAAUAAAGAGCUAGCACUGCACUCAUACUAAAAGGCCACAAAAGAGACUUGUCAAGAAUGAACACAUAAUUUCAAGUUAUCUAAACUGAUCAGACUUGUUUUCCUUUUUGAAAGAAGACUAAUCUUCACGCAGAUGAAAGCAACCUUAACAACAAAACCCCUUUUUUUCUCCUUGUCAAAGGAAGUGGGCAGCGGGUGAUCAAAAAAACAAUGACACUAGUUCUCAUCAACUAAAAUGCUUAUUGAACUCUACUACUCACCAUCAAUUAGUACUCCCAAAUGGCCCUAAGGCACUCUAAGAAAUAUUUAAGUUAUGAGAAGAAAACUUCAUACCUGCAAAAGAGUUACAAAUGAAGACACCAAACCAUUGAUUCCAGCGGGAGGGCUAUUAGGUAACUGCAAGGUCUUUAGACUGCCCCAUCAAUGCGGCAUAGCAAGUUCAACUCCUGUGCUGUACAGUCACGAAGCGGAAGAACUACUGGUAUAUCCCAUCUGGCAUCAACAUACUGCAUAUCAGCUGACAAAGAAUAUCCUUGGCCCUUCACUGUUGCUGCAAGGACAUGGCAAGCAAUCCUUGAUGUGCAUGAUCCUAAAAUAAGCCUGUUGUAUCCAUUUUCAGAAGCAACCUUUUGCAAGGCCAACAUCCGCAGGUGUAGCAGAAGGUCUUCUUUCCCUGUCGCAUCAUUCACAGCAUCUAGUAAUUUUGUCAAUCUGUCCUUCCCUUCAAUUGAAUCUGAAGUAUAUAUAUUUUCAAUUGGAAACACAUGCAAUUGCUUCAUAGGUGGGGUUAGCUUUGAGACAACCAAUUUCAUCUCUCUAAUUGCAUCAUCCACUUUCUCAGAAGCAACUGGGUAGACAGCACUUUCAUCAAUAAAUGCUACUCCAACACCAAACACCGGUAAUGAUCUGUCCUUAUUGGCAUCAAAAUUUUUCUGCGCUCUAUGCUGCAAUUCAUGUACAAACUGUAGGGCCACGCUGAAACACAACUAGAAGUGCUCAGAAAAUAAAAUUGAACAUUACAAACAAGGCAAAAUAAAAGGAGCAUUCCACGGUGAAUUUCCAAAUAAAACAGCUUUAAUAAUUUUGUUUAUAAAGAAAUAAUCUUUGGAUCAUCAUCAUCAUCAUCAUAUAUAUUCCAAUACAAUGAUAGAGGAUCAAGCUAUAUAUGCAACCAUAAACUCAUUUCUUCAAUCGAAUUGUUAUUAAUGGCAAAAAUAUAAUUAAGCAUUUAAAAAAACGUGUUCUUGUGAAUAUUAUUCUAAAGUUGCUUCAAAUUAACAAAAAAAUAUUGCAAAUUCCUGAACCAUCCGUAGUAAAUUUUGUAUGCAGAGAACACAAUACAUCUCUUACACAAAAGCAAAACAUAAUCAUCAGCUAGAAAUAAAAUCAAACACAAAGACACAAAACGCUAAGAAGAGAAACCUGGAGGCAGGGCCGCCAGAGAAAGCGACAAGUACAUUAUCAGAAGGGGUAAUCAUAGAAUAAGAAGUAACAGAAAGUCUAAACUUCCCAUAAAGAUUGCGCCGAAAACAACCGUAACAGAAGUGCGCAUCAUCAGCACCAGCACC